RNAcentral lists this ribosomal RNA (293 nucleotides) under uncultured bacterium. RNAcentral's name for it is "partial 16S ribosomal RNA". It matches the Rfam family "Archaeal small subunit ribosomal RNA", at positions 455 to 747 of the family's 1478-position model. The record is from RNAcentral.
GUGCCAGCCGCCGCGGUAAUACCGGCAGCCCGAGUGAUGGCCGAUCUUAUUGGGCCUAAAGCGUCCGUAGCUGGCUGCGCAAGUCCGUCGGGAAAUCCACUCGCCCAACGAGUGGGCGUCCGACGGAAACUGCACAGCUUGGGAUCGGAAGGCUCGAAGGGUACGUUCGGGGUAGGAGUGAAAUCCCAUAAUCCUGGACGGACCACCGGUGGCGAAAGCGCCUCAGAAAGACGGACCCGACGGUGAGGAACGAAAGCCAGGGUCUCGAACCGGAUUAGAUACCCCGGUAGUCC